Long non-coding RNA from Perognathus longimembris pacificus (Pacific pocket mouse), 160 nucleotides. RefSeq lists it as uncharacterized. The record is from RefSeq and is a predicted model, not a curated record. The transcript has 3 exons. Lineage: Eukaryota; Metazoa; Chordata; Mammalia; Rodentia; Heteromyidae.
AUCCAGAGGCAUUUCAAAAAACUUUCAAAAAGACUUUCACCUAAGAUACAAAGAAAGCCCUGGGUUCUUCAUCUUUGUGAUAAGGUUAGCAAUGCUAGCAUGUAUCUAGGAAUACUAUAAGAGGAUCAGUACUAAACUAUAUAAUACAUAUCAAUUCACA